This 327-nucleotide unclassified non-coding RNA is filed under the name soil metagenome. RNAcentral's name for it is "partial contains 5.8S ribosomal RNA, internal transcribed spacer 2, and large subunit ribosomal RNA". The stretch from base 1 to 120 matches the Rfam family "5.8S ribosomal RNA", at positions 35 to 154 of the family's 154-position model. The record is from RNAcentral.
GAUGAAGAACGUAGCUAAAUGCGAUAAGUAAUGUGAAUUGCAGAAUUCAGUGAAUCAUCGAAUCUUUGAACGCACAUUGCGCCCCUUGGUAUUCCGGGGGGCAUGCCUGUUCGAGCGUCAUUAUAACCCCUCAAGCUCAGCUUGGUGUUGGGGCCUGCCAACUGGCAGCCCUUAAAAUCAGUGGCGGCGCCAUCUGGCUCUAAGCGUAGUAAUUUCUCUCGCUAUAGGGUCCCGGUGGAUGCUUGCCAACAACCCCCAAUUUUCUAUGGUUGACCUCGGAUCAGGUAGGGAUACCCGCUGAACUUAAGCAUAUCAAUAAGCGGAGGA